GUCACCGUUCGGCCUGUGUGUGCCUGCGGGUGCCCCGGGGAGGGUGGAGCGGAGUCGCGUGGUGGACUGAGGGCGUUAUCCUGCUAAGGGUGUUGGUGACGGUUUACUUCAUUAAGUGUGUAGCUGUGAGCUGUCAGGGCAAGAUUAUGACUGAACUAGAGGAGAACAUCACCCAGAGAUCUUGGACUUGGAGCUGGAUGCAGGCACUGAUGAGACUCUGGGUUUCCCCGUUGGGGGAGGAAGAAUCAACUUUCCAGCCCCUUGAGCAACCAGCGAGCCAGUCAUCCAUAUCUGCAACCAGACUUUGAUUUGAAUAGGGACCCUGUGGGAAGAUUAUAUGAAGAGGGAGAGGGACCCUGUUGUCAUAAUGUCCCCAUUAUCUGAAGAGAUGACUCCAGUCUCACCUGUCACCCGACUGCAACCAGAUGAGAAGCCCCAGGUGAGACCAGUGGAAGAACUGCCUACAUGAUCUCAGACAACCUACAGAAUCACAAGAGGGGGUCAUUCCAGUGCUUUCUAUUGAUGAAACUUAAAAUUCUGCCACCUGAUGACGGAGAACUUUUUGCAGGAUCCAAGUCCAGUAUCACAAAGUGCAGGGCAAAGAAGAGUGGAUUUGGAAUGGAGAGCCAAUAAAUUGAUAACUUGCA
Long non-coding RNA from Lynx canadensis (Canada lynx), 647 nucleotides. RefSeq lists it as uncharacterized. The record is from RefSeq and is a predicted model, not a curated record. The transcript has 5 exons. Lineage: Eukaryota; Metazoa; Chordata; Mammalia; Carnivora; Felidae.